GACGAACGCUGGCGGCGUGCUUAACACAUGCAAGUCGAACGGGCCCGCCCCUGUUUUUGGGGGUGGGUUGAGUGGCGAACGGGUGAGUAUCACGUGAGUAACCUGCCCCCUGCUCCUGGAUAACUGCUUGAAAGGGCGGCUAAUACGGGGUGUGCCGGCUGGUCCGCAUGGGCCUGGUCGGGAUAGUUUCAUCUUCGGGUGUUUCGGUGGGGGAUGGGCUCGCGGCCUAUCAGCUUGUUGGUGGGGUGAUGGCCCACCAAGGCGGUGACGGGUAGCCGGCCGGAGAGGGUGGGCGGCCACACUGGGACUGAGACACGGCCCAGACUCCUGCGGGAGGCAGCAGUGGGGGGUAUUGCACAAUGGGCGGAAGCCUGAUGCAGCGACGUCGCGUGAGGGAUGGAGGCCUUCGGGUUGUGAACCUCUUUCUCCGGUGGUGAAGGCCCUGUCCGUUGCGGCGGGGUUGACGGUAGCCGGGUAUGAAGCGCCGGCUAACUACGUG
This 499-nucleotide ribosomal RNA is filed under the name uncultured bacterium. RNAcentral describes it as "partial 16S ribosomal RNA". It matches the Rfam family "Bacterial small subunit ribosomal RNA", at positions 28 to 507 of the family's 1533-position model. The record is from RNAcentral.